RNAcentral lists this ribosomal RNA (254 nucleotides) under uncultured bacterium. RNAcentral's name for it is "partial 16S ribosomal RNA". It matches the Rfam family "Bacterial small subunit ribosomal RNA", at positions 524 to 776 of the family's 1533-position model. The record is from RNAcentral.
UACGUAGGGGGCGAGCGUUGUCCGGAUUUAUUGGGCGUAAAGAGCUCGUAGGCGGUUUGGUAAGUUGGAUGUGAAAUCUCCAGGCUCAACUUGGAGGGGUCAUUCGAUACUGCCAUGACUAGAGUUCGGUAGGGGAGUGUGGAAUUCCUGGUGUAGCGGUGAAAUGCGCAGAUAUCAGGAGGAACACCGGUGGCGAAGGCGGGUCUCUGGGCCGAUACUGACGCUGAGGAGCGAAAGCGUGGGGAGCGAACAGG